This 674-nucleotide ribosomal RNA is filed under the name bacterium UASWS0086. RNAcentral's name for it is "bacterial SSU rRNA". It matches the Rfam family "Bacterial small subunit ribosomal RNA", at positions 30 to 669 of the family's 1533-position model. The record is from RNAcentral.
GGAAAGCCUGGCCGGCAGGACUUAACACAUGUCAAGUUUCGGGGCGGUGUCACACGUGAAGCUUGCUUUCUGGGUGACGAGCGGCGGACGGGUGAGUAAUGUCUGGGAAACUGCCUGAUGGAGGGGGAUAACUACUGGAAACGGUAACUAAUACCGCAUAACGUUUCAUGAACAAAAAAGGGGGACCUUCAGGCCUUUUGCAUCAUAAUGUGCCCAGAUGGGAUUAGCUAGUAGGUGGGGUACUGUCUUAGCUACGCGAUUAUCCCCCAGGUGGUCUGCCCAAGCUGGUCUGAGAGGAUGACCAGCCACACUGGAACUGAGACACGGUCCAGACUCNUACGGGAGGCAGCAGUGGGGAAUAUUGCACAAUGGGCGCAAGCCUGAUGCAGCCAUGCCGCGUGUGUAAAGAAGGCCUUCGGGUUGUAAAGCACUUUCAGCGAGGAGGAAGGUGGUGAGCUUAAUACGCUCAUCAAUUGACGUUACUCGCAGAAGAAGCACCGGCUAACUCCGUGCCAGCAGCCGCGGUAAUACGGAGGGUGCAAGCGUUAAUCGGAAUUACUGGGCGUAAAGCGCACGCAGGCGGUUUGUGAAGUCAGAUGUGAAAUCCCCGGGCUCAACCUGGGAACUGCAUUUGAAACUGGCAAGCUAGAGUCUCGUAAAGGGGGGUANAAUUC